UGCCAGCAGCCGCGGUAAUACUGAAGGUGCAAGCGUUAAUCGGAAUCACUGGGCGUAAAGCGCUCGUAGGUGGCUUUGUAAGUCAGAUGUGAAAGCCCACGGCUCAACCGUGGAAUUGUAUUUGAUACUGGCGGGCUAGAGGACGGUAGGGGUGAGUGGAACUCCAGGUGGAGCGGUGAAAUGCGUAGAUAUCUGGAGGAACACCAGUGGCGAAAGCGGCACACUGGGUCUUAACUGACGCUGAGGCACGAAAGCCAGGGGAGCGAACGGGAUUAGAUA
Molecule: ribosomal RNA, 279 nt
Filed under: uncultured bacterium
Lineage: Bacteria
Description: partial 16S ribosomal RNA
Rfam family: Bacterial small subunit ribosomal RNA
Source: RNAcentral